Molecule: ribosomal RNA, 464 nt
Filed under: uncultured bacterium
Lineage: Bacteria
Description: bacterial SSU rRNA
Rfam family: Bacterial small subunit ribosomal RNA
Source: RNAcentral
ACGAACGCUGGCGGCGUGCUUAACACAUGCAAGUCGAACGGUGACGGAGAGCUUGCUCUCCUGAUCAGUGGCGAACGGGUGAGUAACACGUGGGCAACCUGCCCCAGACUUCGGGAUAACGCUUCGAAAGAGGUGCUAAUACCGGAUACGAACUCCUUGGGCAUCCUUGGAGUUGGAAAGUUUUUCGGUCUGGGAUGGGCCCGCGGCCUAUCAGCUUGUUGGUGAGGUAACGGCUCACCAAGGCGACGACGGGUAGCCGGCCUGAGAGGGCGACCGGCCACACUGGGACUGAGACACGGCCCAGACUCCUACGGGAGGCAGCAGUGGGGAAUAUUGCGCAAUGGGCGAAAGCCUGACGCAGCAACGCCGCGUGAGGGAUGACGGCCUUCGGGUUGUAAACCUCUUUCAGCAGGGAAGAAGCGAAAGUGACGGUACCUGCAGAAGAAGCACCGGCUAACUACGUG